GUGGGGAAUUUUGGACAAUGGGCGCAAGCCUGAUCCAGCAAUGCCGCGUGAGUGAAGAAGGCCUUCGGGUUGUAAAGCUCUUUUGUCAGGGAAGAAACGGUAGGAGCUAAUAUCUCCUGCUAAUGACGGUACCUGAAGAAUAAGCACCGGCUAACUACGUGCCAGCAGCCGCGGUAAUACGUAGGGUGCAAGCGUUAAUCGGAAUUACUGGGCGUAAAGCGUGCGCAGGCGGUUUUGUAAGUUUGUCGUGAAAUCCCCGGGCUUAACCUGGGAAUUGCGAUGAAGACUGCAAGGCUAGAAUCUGGCAGAGGGGGGUAGAAUUCCACGUGUAGCAGUGAAAUGCGUAGAGAUGUGGAGGAACACCGAUGGCGAAGGCAGCCCCCUGGGUCAAGAUUGACGCUCAUGCACGAAAGCGUGGGGAGCAAACAGGAUUAGAAACCCCUGUAGUCC
This 450-nucleotide ribosomal RNA is filed under the name uncultured bacterium. RNAcentral describes it as "bacterial SSU rRNA". It matches the Rfam family "Bacterial small subunit ribosomal RNA", at positions 354 to 796 of the family's 1533-position model. The record is from RNAcentral.